This 473-nucleotide ribosomal RNA is filed under the name uncultured bacterium. RNAcentral's name for it is "SSU rRNA". It matches the Rfam family "Bacterial small subunit ribosomal RNA", at positions 26 to 518 of the family's 1533-position model. The record is from RNAcentral.
AGGACGAACGCUGGCGGCGUGCUUAACACAUGCAAGUCGAGCGGAAAGGCCCUUCGGGGUACUCGAGCGGCGAACGGGUGAGUAACACGUGAGCAACCUGCCCUUAGCUCCGGGAUAGCUCCGGGAAACCGGAAUUAAUACCGGAUAUGACCUAGGCCGACAUCGGCUGUGGUGGAAAGUUUUUCGGCUGGGGAUGGACUCGCGGCCUAUCAGCUUGUUGGUGGGGUAAUGGCCUACCAAGGCGACGACGGGUAGCCGGCCUGAAAGGGCGACCGGCCACACUGGGACUGAGACACGGCCCAGACUCCUACGGGAGGCAGCAGUGGGGAAUCUUGCGCAAUGGGCGAAAGCCUGACGCAGCGACGCCGCGUGGGGGAUGAAGGCCUUCGGGUUGUAAACCCCUUUCAGCAGGACGAAGCGAAAGUGACGGUACCUGCAGAAGAAGCGCCGGCUAACUACGUGCCAGCAGCCGC